AGUGAACGCUGGCGGUAGCCCUAACACAUGCAAGUCGAACGGCAGCACAGUAAGAGCUUGCCCUUACGGGUGGCGAGUGGCGGACGGGUGAGGAAUACAUCGGAAUCUACUUUUUCGUGGGGGAUAACGUAGGGAAACUUACGCUAAUACCGCAUACGACCUACGGGUGAAAGCAGGGGAUCUUCGGACCUUGCGCGAUUGAAUGAGCCGAUGUCGGAUUAGCUAGUUGGCGGGGUAAAGGCCCACCAAGGCGACGAUCCGUAGCUGGUCUGAGAGGAUGAUCAGCCACACUGGAACUGAGACACGGUCCAGACUCCUACGGGAGGCAGCAGUGGGGAAUAUUGGACAAUGGGCGCAAGCCUGAUCCAGCCAUACCGCGUGGGUGAAGAAGGCCUUCGGGUUGUAAAGCCCUUUUGUUGGGAAAGAAAAGCAGCAGGUUAAUACCCCGCUGUUCUGACGGUACCCAAAGAAUAAGCACCGGCUAACUUCGUG
Molecule: ribosomal RNA, 492 nt
Filed under: uncultured bacterium
Lineage: Bacteria
Description: partial 16S ribosomal RNA
Rfam family: Bacterial small subunit ribosomal RNA
Source: RNAcentral